Molecule: long non-coding RNA, 379 nt
Organism: Scophthalmus maximus (turbot)
Lineage: Eukaryota; Metazoa; Chordata; Actinopteri; Pleuronectiformes; Scophthalmidae
Exons: 3
Source: RefSeq, a predicted model, not a curated record
CGACACGGUGACGAGAAUCAGCGCAGAUCGCCUGAGCAAAGAGGACGUGCGCGACAAACAGGAAAUGAAGGGUUAAAACUGGCUACGUCUGGAUUUUCCACCGACCGCAUUGUUGCUGCUUGUAAACAGCAAGUUCCCGGCUCUGAUUGAUAGAGGAGAGAAUACCACGUGGUGAAGGAGACAAGGGAGAAAACCACAGAGCUAGAAGAAAUGGGAGAACCAGAGCGUGAGUUCGCGAGAUGUGCACAACUGGAACCCUUCCUGGAACAAGGAUAUAAUGAUACAUUUGUUUUGUAAUGUAUCUUGAACCGUGGUGAGAUCAUAAAAGGAAGGGACAAAUAUCACACCACAUUAAGAUGUUGCUUUCAGCAGAGACAAA